AUGAAAAUCAAAACCAUAUUUUUCUGUCUCAGAGGGAAAAACCACAAGAGUAAGAAAAAUGAGGUGGAAGACUUUGAGAAACUCUCCAAUGACAAGCCUAGUCAUCACAAGGGAAGAAAAAAUGAAGGGCAUGUUUCAACAACUCAUGCUGAUGGUGGUGCCACUGCCGGCAGCAAUGUUGAUAGCAAUGAUGCAGGAGUAGUGGCUGCUGCUGUGGUGACAGCAGCUCAUGUGUCUUUGAUGAGUCAAGAUGGAAGUGCUCAUGGUGGUGAAUCCUGUGGAGAUGGUGGAGGCUAG
This is a non-coding RNA of Vicia faba (fava bean), 297 nucleotides long. Lineage: Eukaryota; Viridiplantae; Streptophyta; Magnoliopsida; Fabales; Fabaceae. The record is from the annotation of a GenBank genome assembly.